UAUUCUGGAAGAAAAUGUGUCCAUCAAACUGAAAGCAAAGCCUCAUACAAAUGAGCACUGACACAUUCCUAAUCAAUACUCUGAUAAAGUGAUUGAUCCAUUGAUAAACAGCAUCAUGAGAGGAAUCCAAGUCCCUGUUGGAGUCAGUCAGAGCAUUUCCAUAGAGAGCCACUUUGCAUCAGCAGCACCAUGCUCCAGUGCUCUGGGAGAGUUUAUAGUCCUGAGAGUUGAACACUGGAUGACUGACAGCUGUCCUUCAUGACAACAGAAGACACAGAAAUCCUCCUCAUCAAAAACAUGACUUUGAUCUCCGUCCUCAUCUGGACUCUCCUCUGCUGCUGCUUCACAGAGUCCAGAGGCCAGGUCACAGUGACUCAGCCUGGAGCAGUGAGCUCUGCUCUGGGACGCUCCGUCACCAUCACAUGUAGGACCAGUCAGAAUGUUCAGUUUUGGAGCAACAAACAUCUUUUAGCCUGGUACCAACAGAGAGAUGGAGAAACUCCUAAACUGCUCAUUUACUAUGCUAGCACUCGAGCAUCAGGGAUUCCAGGUCGUUUUACAGGCAGUGGAUCAAACUCUGACUUCACUCUGACCAUCAGUGGAGUCCAGACUGAAGAUGCAGCAGUUUACUACUGUCAGAGUCAACAUCACAUCAACAGUCAGAGUGUGUUCACACAGUGAAAAAGCGUCGUACAAAAACCUCCCUCAGUCAGACUGAACAGAAACUGAACUGACUGCUGCAGCUGGAAGCUACUGCAGAGACUGAUACACUUCACUGAGGACACACACACACACAUACACACACACCUACACACACCAUCAGUCAACAUGUAUUAAAACACGUUCAGUGACAAAUGUAUCUGGUUUGUAAAAUUAUCAAGCGAAGCCAA
Dicentrarchus labrax (European seabass) is the source of this 890-nucleotide non-coding RNA. The record is from the annotation of a RefSeq genome assembly. NCBI's taxonomy places the organism in Eukaryota, Metazoa, Chordata, Actinopteri, Moronidae.